CAGGAGUGUGCAGUAUCCAGGCAGUCUAUGAAACAAUGCCAAAGCAGCGCCUUGCACACGCGUGUUUAUGUGAGUUGAACUGAGUACGUGCGUGCGUGCGUGCGUGCAUGCGUGCCUCGAGACUUUCACACGAUUUCUGCUUUCUGCGCGUCAACACUGCAGUCUUUCAUCAUUCUUGCCUGCACGUUACUAUACCAGGCGCCCUCACAGUAAGCAGGUAUUCGCGCCGCCGCUGCCUCCACUGUCAUCCGCCAUCCUCCACCCCGGUCACCGCAGCCGCUGAGUGGAGAGGCAGAUGAAGGCCUGAGGAGCGACGUCACUCUGUCCCCACAGCCGUCAGUCAGGU
Scylla paramamosain (green mud crab) is the source of this 346-nucleotide long non-coding RNA. RefSeq lists it as uncharacterized. The record is from RefSeq and is a predicted model, not a curated record. The transcript has 5 exons. NCBI's taxonomy places the organism in Eukaryota, Metazoa, Arthropoda, Malacostraca, Decapoda, Portunidae.